UCCUACGGGAGGCAGCAGUAGGGAAUCUUCCGCAAUGGACGAAAGUCUGACGGAGCAACGCCGCGUGAGUGAUGAAGGUUUUCGGAUCGUAAAGCUCUGUUGUUAGGGAAGAACAAGUGCUAGUUGAAUAAGCUGGCACCUUGACGGUACCUAACCAGAAAGCCACGGCUAACUACGUGCCAGCAGCCGCGGUAAUACGUAGGUGGCAAGCGUUAUCCGGAAUUAUUGGGCGUAAAGCGCGCGCAGGUGGUUUCUUAAGUCUGAUGUGAAAGCCCACGGCUCAACCGUGGAGGGUCAUUGGAAACUGGGAGACUUGAGUGCAGAAGAGGAAAGUGGAAUUCCAUGUGUAGCGGUGAAAUGCGUAGAGAUAUGGAGGAACACCAGUGGCGAAGGCGACUUUCUGGUCUGUAACUGACACUGAGGCGCGAAAGCGUGGGGAGCAAACAGGAUUAGAUACCCUGGUAGUCCACGCCGUAAACGAUGAGUGCUAAGUGUUAGAGGGUUUCCGCCCUUUAGUGCUGAAGUUAACGCAUUAAGCACUCCGCCUGGGGAGUACGGCCGCAAGGCUGAAACUCAAAGGAAUUGACGGA
RNAcentral lists this ribosomal RNA (590 nucleotides) under uncultured bacterium. RNAcentral's name for it is "bacterial SSU rRNA". It matches the Rfam family "Bacterial small subunit ribosomal RNA", at positions 337 to 917 of the family's 1533-position model. The record is from RNAcentral.